Molecule: ribosomal RNA, 501 nt
Filed under: uncultured bacterium
Lineage: Bacteria
Description: partial 16S ribosomal RNA
Rfam family: Bacterial small subunit ribosomal RNA
Source: RNAcentral
AUUGAACGCUAGCGGCAGGCUUAACACAUGCAAGUCGAGCGGAGAUGAGGUGCUUGCACCUUAUCUUAGCGGCGGACGGGUGAGUAAUGCUUAGGAAUCUGCCUAUUAGUGGGAGACAACAUUCCGAAAGGAAUGCUAAUACCGCAUACGUCCUACGGGAGAAAGCAGGGGAUCUUCGGACCUUGCGCUAAUAGAUGAGCCUAAGUCGGAUUAGCUAGUUGGUGGGGUAAAGGCCUACCAAGGCGACGAUCUGUAGCGGGUCUGAGAGGAUGAUCCGCCACACUGGGACUGAGACACGGCCCAGACUCCUACGGGAGGCAGCAGUGGGGAAUAUUGGACAAUGGGGGAAACCCUGAUCCAGCCAUGCCGCGUGUGUGAAGAAGGCCUUAUGGUUGUAAAGCACUUUAAGCGAGGAGGAGGCUACUGAGACUAAUACUCUUGGAUAGUGGACGUUACUCGCAGAAUAAGCACCGGCUAACUCUGUGCCAGCCGCCGCCGUAA